AUACGUAGGGGGCGAGCGUUGUCCGGAAUGAUUGGGCGUAAAGGGCGCGUAGGCGGCCCGGUAAGUCUGGAGUGAAAGUCCUGUUUUUAAGAUGGGAAUUGCUUUGGAUACUGUCGGGCUUGAGUGCAGGAGAGGUAAGUGGAAUUCCCAGUGUAGCGGUGAAAUGCGUAGAGAUUGGGAGGAACACCAGUGGCGAAGGCGACUUACUGGACUGUAACUGACGCUGAGGCGCGAAAGUGUGGGGAGCAAACAGGAUUAGAUUCCCUGGUAGUCCACACUGUAAACGAUGAAUGCUAGGUGUAGGGGGUAUCGACCCCUUCUGUGCCGCAGUCAACACAAUAAGCAUUCCGCCUGGGGAGUACUGCCGCAAGGUUGAAACUCAAAGGAAUUGGCGGGG
This 397-nucleotide ribosomal RNA is filed under the name uncultured bacterium. RNAcentral describes it as "partial 16S ribosomal RNA". It matches the Rfam family "Bacterial small subunit ribosomal RNA", at positions 523 to 918 of the family's 1533-position model. The record is from RNAcentral.